Molecule: transfer RNA, 62 nt
Filed under: Echinostoma caproni
Lineage: Eukaryota; Metazoa; Platyhelminthes; Trematoda; Plagiorchiida; Echinostomatidae
Rfam family: tRNA
About the family: Transfer RNA (tRNA) molecules are approximately 80 nucleotides in length.
Source: Rfam by way of RNAcentral
GGCCUCGUAGCUCAGCUUGUAGAGCGUGCGUCCAUGCGUGGGUUCGAAUCCCACCGGGGCUA